This 288-nucleotide long non-coding RNA is filed under the name Volvox carteri. Its description in RNAcentral is "long non-coding RNA (VCAR_LNC002242)". The record is from RNAcentral. Lineage: Eukaryota; Viridiplantae; Chlorophyta; Chlorophyceae; Chlamydomonadales; Volvocaceae.
AAUAUCAGUAUUAGUUAAUACCUGUAAUCACCAACCGCGGAAUUGACGGGUGUUAGUUAGUAAUAUUGGAGUUUGGUAAAUCGGAGUGGACGAGCUAACCACCGACAGUUAGGUUUCGGCGCCCAAACCGUUGCAGAAAACCUUUACAGGAUACAACACUAAGCAACACCUAGACCUUGGACUCCUUGAUAACUUGCAAGGGUCUCGGUGGACUGUGUGAGGGAUUGCUGAGUUGUGCAUUUUGUCCCUGCUCACGCGAAGGCGUACGAUCUGUGGCUUGCUUUGGCG